GUAUACAAUUUGCCUUGUACUGGAGGAUAGCCCGGAGAAAUUCGGAUUAAUACUCCAUAGUAUUUACGAAUCGCAUGAUUUGUAUCUUAAAGUUUCGGCGGUACAAGAUAAGUAUGCGUCCUAUUAGCUAGAUGGUAAGGUAACGGCUUACCAUGGCAACGAUAGGUAGGGGGCCUGAGAGGGUUAUCCCCCACACUGGUACUGAGACACGGACCAGACUCCUACGGGAGGCAGCAGUGAGGAAUAUUGGUCAAUGGAGGCAACUCUGAACCAGCCAUGCCGCGUGAAGGAAGAAUGUCCUACGGAUUGUAAACUUCUUUUAUUUGGGAAGAAACCCCUCUACGUGUAGAGGGCUGACGGUACCAAACGAAUAAGGACCGGCUAACUCCGUGCCAGCAGCCGCGGUAAUACGGAGGGUCCAAGCGUUAUCCGGAAUCAUUGGGUUUAAAGGGUUCGCAGGCGGUGAUUUAAGUCAGUGGUGAAAUCCCAUAGCUCAACUAUGGAACUGCCAUUGAUACUGAAUCACUUGAAUAUAGUUGGAGUAGGCGGAAUGUGUAGUGUAGCGGUGAAAUGCUUAGAUAUUACACAGAACACCGAUAGCGAAGCAGCUUACUAAACUAUUAUUGACGCUCAUGAACGAAAGCGUGGGGAGCGAACAGGAUUAGAUACCCUGGUAGUCCACGCCGUAAACUAUGAUUACUCGAUAUUGGCGAUACACUGUCAGUGUCUAAGCGAAAGUGAUAAGUAAUCCACCUGGGGAGUACGUUGGCAACAAUGAAACUCAAAGGAAUUGACGGGG
This 799-nucleotide ribosomal RNA is filed under the name uncultured bacterium. RNAcentral describes it as "bacterial SSU rRNA". It matches the Rfam family "Bacterial small subunit ribosomal RNA", at positions 117 to 918 of the family's 1533-position model. The record is from RNAcentral.